AUACGGAGGGAGCUAGCGUUGUUCGGAAUUACUGGGCGUAAGGCGCACGUAGGCGGCUUUGUAAGUUAGGGGUGAAAGCCUGGAGCUCAACUUCAGAAUUGCCCUUAAGACUGCAUCGCUUGAAUCCAGGAGAGGUGAGUGGAAUUCCGAGUGUAGAGGUGAAAUUCGUAGAUAUUCGGAAGAACACCAGUGGCGAAGGCGGCUCACUGGACUGGUAUUGACGCUGAGGUGCGAAAGCGUGGGGAGCAAACAG
RNAcentral lists this ribosomal RNA (253 nucleotides) under uncultured prokaryote. RNAcentral describes it as "partial 16S ribosomal RNA". It matches the Rfam family "Bacterial small subunit ribosomal RNA", at positions 523 to 775 of the family's 1533-position model. The record is from RNAcentral.